RNAcentral lists this long non-coding RNA (39909 nucleotides) under Solanum tuberosum (potato). RNAcentral describes it as "long non-coding RNA (STUB_LNC009467)". The stretch from base 6236 to 6283 matches the Rfam family "MIR8032 microRNA precursor family". The record is from RNAcentral. Lineage: Eukaryota; Viridiplantae; Streptophyta; Magnoliopsida; Solanales; Solanaceae.
CCAAUUAUUAUUGUUAUCAAAAGUAAAGAUUUUCUUGGUAAAGAGUUCAAAACUGUUUUCCGAAUCUAGAGGUUGCAACACGUGUAUUGAGAAAUCCCCUCCUAUGUAUCUGCCUACAUUACUAUUUCGAGAGGUUAUAAUUAUCCUACUGCCAAUUUUUGAAUCACAUUCAGGAAGGACAAGUUUUAGAUCAUCCCAAAUUUCAACAUCCCAAAUGUCAUCUAAGAGAAUAACAUACCUUUUUAUUUUCAAGAGUGAUCGUAGGUUGUUCUCCAAGUUUUCUUUCCUUUCCUCUUCCAUCAGUCCAACUUGUUUGGCUAUGUCAUGUAAGAUUUCUCCCGCCCUUGGCUGUUGUGAAACAUAGACCAGUCCCGAACACUCAAAUUGAUCACGGACUUGCCUAUAAAGUUUCUUGGCAAGAGUUGUUUUUCCUAGACCGGGCAUGCCAACUAUUGAAACAACUCCAUAAGGCAAAUCAUGAUCAAGUAAUUUGGCUUGCAGCUUAUUGAAGUCAUCAUCCAAACCGAUGACCUCUGUUUCAUCAGCAUGAAGGAAUAAUCUUCUUUGGUCCAAUGGAAUGCAAUCAUCACUAUUGUUGUUACUUGUAUCCAUGAUGUUGUAAGUUGUCCUUACACGAUCAAUGUCAGCAACUCUUCUUUUUAUCUUCUCAAUCUCCAUAGCAAACUCAUCCGCAAAAGAAACCGUCUUAAGGCAACAAAUGAAAUUAUUGGAUUGUUGAAUUUUUGGAAGAAACUCAUCUAAUAGAUCCUCCACAUCACCUGCCAGUUGUUGAAUAUCUUUUAAUAAGUUUUUGACCCUUGAAUGGCCUCCAACUUCCUUGGCCUUUGCAUCGUCUACAUAUGAUCGAAUGUGUCUCAUUUCUCUGUGGAGCCAAUCUAUGUCCUCUUUUAACCAAUAUAAACGCGUUCCUUCUUGAAAGAGUACAUUUCCAGCUAUUUCUAUUGAUUUAUUGAUGACUGCUGUGAGAAGAAUUUCAGCCAUCUCUUUUUUCCUUAAAUUUCUUUUUUCUAAAUGUGAGGAUUAGCAAGGGAAAGUAAGAGAAAAUUAAAAGAUGAUCAAUUAUUGGUAAAAGGAUAAGAAAGAUGCAGUAUUUGCUUUAGGUGUUGGAGUCAACGGCCAAGUCUACUAAUAAUAAUGUCAAGUAGAUGAAAAAGAAAGAACAAAUGGACAGAAACAACUACUCCGUUCAUAUUAAAUACAAUAAUUCAUCUUUUCUUAAUCAUAUUAGCUGGUAUUUUGUUUUCAAGCAUGCAGGGGCGGACCCACCGUUACCCGAUGCCCUUCGUCGAAAAAUUACGAGGUCAAAUUUUGAUUUUAUAAAUAUAUAUAUAUAUACAAGUAUUAACACAUCUGGACACAAGUUAAAAGGUUUCGUGUAUUAAGGUGUUACGAAAGUUCCUUGAGGUAGUGUGUUUUUGUGCUAUUAGCCUCAAAUUAUAUUUUUUUAUUACAAUCAUUGACACCUUAAUGACAAUCUUUGGAUCCACGUUAAAAGUCAGACAAUUGAUGCAGUACUACGCGAAAAAUUCAAUGGCAAAGAUGAGUUCACACCGAAGCUUCUGGAAUCUCCUUCGUCCGAUUAUAUUUCAGUUCAUUAAAACAAGGGAUAAGGGCCUGAAAAAUAUUCCAACUUUGGUCGAAUUUGCUGUUACGAUACUAAACUUUCAUGAGGACCUAUUACCUCCCUAGACUAUUUAAUACCGUAUUUUAAACAUAUAUAUUUGCCCACGUGGACAUAAAAAAUAAUGCAAAAUUAUAAAUAGUAAUGUGUCCACGUGGACACAUAUAUACCUUUAAAAUACACUAUUAAAUAGUUCAGGGGGUAAAAAAUACGGUAUUAAAUAGUCUAGGGAGAUAAUAGGUCCUCAUAAAAGUUUAGUAUCGCAACAACAAAUCCGACCAAAGUUGGGGUAUUUUUCAGACCAUUGUCCCUUAAAACAAGGCAAAAAUACUCAUUACCCCCUUGAACUUGAAACUUUUUAUACGGUGUGCACCUAAACUAAAUUCCAUUUUAAUUAACUCCGAACUUGUUUAUUCCUCCAUCACGUACAUCUUUUUCGUCCACCUGCUCCUAUUGUGUAUUCCUCCAUUAUGUACACCUUUUUCGUCCACCCGGUCCUAUUGUGACUACACGCGCGCGACAGCUGGCAAAAGUGGUGAUGUGGAUUUCCACCUGGAUAUAUAAUAGCCACCUAGAUAAAUUAAUAUUGCAAAAAAUAAAUUUCCUAAAUUUAAAAUUCAUUGUUUAAAAGUUAUUUUUGAAUAAGGGUUGAUUUCGCGGAACUCCUUGAAUUUCAAAUUUGUCUGAAAUUCUUACCAAGUAAGUGUUAAUCUUUGUUUCCUUUACUUUUCAUUUACAUUUUCGUCGCGUACACCUUUUUUUUCCACUUACUCCUGUUGGGACUACACGCGCGCGACAGCUGUCUAAAUUGGUGAUGUGGAUUUCCACCUGGAUAAAUUAAUAUUACAAAAAAAAAUAUUCUUAAAUUUUAAAUUCAUCGUUUAAAAGUUAUUUUUGAAUAAGGGUUGAUUUCGCGGAACUCCUUGAAUUUCAAAUUUGUCUGAAAUUCUUACCAAGUAAGUGUUAAUCUUUGUUUCCUUUACUUUUCAUUUACAUUUUGCCCUAUUUUUCAUUUAAAAUAUGCCAAAUAUUAAACAAAAAUGGAGAUUUUACGUUGUUUUUUUUUACCGUUGUAGCUUUGUGAUGUGGCAAAAAAUCACUUCCUCACGCGCCUAGUAGAGUGUGUUGUCAAUUUCUACACCAGGUGGACGAAAAGGUGUACGCGACGGAGGAAUAAACAAGUUCGGGGGGGUAAUUAAAACGGAAUUUAGUUUAGGUGUACACCGUAUAAAAAGCUUCAAGUUCAGGGGGGGUAAUGAGUACUUUUGCCUUAAAACAAUUGUUAAAUCUUUAUUAUAUAUUUCAUUUUCAAACAAGAAUAAAGAAUUUUUAGAGUCGUCAGCCGAUUGAAGCAGUAUAUGAUUAUCCCACUAGAAUAUAUAUAUAUAUACGUGGCACUAUCUUGUGGGCCUAGCGCGUGUUGACAAUUUUUUCAAGGAUAGUGCCACGUAGGCCGAAAAGGGGUAGAAAAUUAUAUAUAAAAUAAAUUCAAGGGGGUAAUAGGACCUUAGUAAAAGUUAGGUGUGUCUCAGAGAUUUUGGGCAUAGAAUGGGGGUACUUAUGCAUUUUCCCUAUAUAUAUCACCAAAGAUCGACGACCUUGGCUAUAUUUAUAUUGGAAAAAUGUUAGAAAAUAUUUUAUAUAAAAUAUAACAUAUUGUUUAUAUAUAAAUAUAUUUGCAUACUAAGAUUGUUCGGUUCGAAAGGUUUUUGAUUUUAUUUUAAAAAUUAAAAAGUUCAUCCCAAUUGUUUGGCACAGUACACACUUAAACAAAAAUCCACGAUUUUAUUAAAUAUUUAUAUAAUAAAUCGGUUUGAUUCGAUUGCUUCAGUCGAUUUUUCAUGUUCUUAUGACACCCCUACAUACAAUCAUAUAUAUCAUACAAUCAUAUAUAUCGCACUUACCUAUUACUGAAAUGACUACUUUUUUAUUACUUCCUUUAAUACAUUUGCAAAAUCAAACCCAAGUGUAUGUAUCAUUGGCUCAUUACUAAUUGUCCACCAUUCUAUGCUACAUGAUUAACACAAUGUAUCACUUUUCUAUCUGUGUUCGUACUUCGUAGUUUGCACCAUGAACACAUAAAUCACAUAGGGAUAUUGAAAAUAUUGUCCACUGCCAGAGAUAUUUCGCUGCAUUGUACUUUUCAAAGAGCUGCUUCCCUAUUCCAAAAAGAGAAUAAGAGAUUAAACAUUUCGAAAUAGAAAGCACUAAACCAAUAAAAAUCCAUAGCCACAUUUAAAAAAUUACUAUGGAGAACAUGUGUGUGAGAGAGAGAAAGCAAGACUGUUUUACUCGAAAAUAUAAAAGAAAAAGAAAAAAUGACUGAGUUUCGAAAAAUCGAUCAAACUUAUGAUUUAAGAGAAAUCGAAUUUCCAAAAGAACAGAGUCGCCACUAAAUUUUUAAUAAAAAUCAAGAAAAAACUUAAGGUUUUCAAAAGACUCAAACAGAUAAAAUCAAUCGAAAAAGGGUUCGAGUUCAAUGUACAUUCCGAGAAGGUGUUAGGACCCUCGAAAUGCCCGCUAACUUGCGGUUGACCGGCGAUUUGACUAAAAAUGAUUUUGACUAAUUUUAAAAUUUUAACUAAGUAAAAGAACUCAUAACGACUUUGACUAAUUUUGAAAUUUUAACUAAGUAAAAGAACUCAUUUACUUUAACUUAUUUUUAAAAAUUUUAACUAAGUAAAUGAACUCAUUUAUUUUAACUUAUUUAUUUAUUACUAUUAUUAUUUUCAUCACUUUAUUUUUAUUAAUGUCAUUUAAUUAUCUUAAGGGGAAAUGAACCAAGGGAUAAUUUUUCUAAAGGGGAAUAAUUUAAGUGACGAGACAAAUAAUAAAGUAAGAGCUAAGUAAUAAAAUAUAUAUACUUUAAUUUGGAAAAUAACAUGAAAUCGCCGUCUUUGGGAAUUUAAUUAAAUUAAACCAUAAGAUAAUCAAGGUUAGUCAAACAAUACAAUAUAAAUAAAGACACAGUAACAUUCUUUUGUGUAACAAAGAUGUCUCAAUUUUUUAGACUCCCAAACACCAAAAGGAAGUUUACUAUAGCUAUGAAAUAUAUCCAGGGUCUCUAGACAUUUGAGCUUGACAAUACUAUUUGGCAAUUUUACUCUAAUUCUCCCCUCCAAUCGCACAUAGCGUAGGCAACUCAUGUUCCCAAUUUUGUUUGGGAUAGUAAUUACAUGCUGAUAACGAUCUCGAGACGUGACUACAACCAACACUUGCAAUAAUUUGAAACUAAGGUGAGCCAUAUGAGAAAAUAGGCAACUGUUAUUGUUGAAACAGAAAAGUGCACGAAGCUUCGUAGGUUUAGGAUUUGAACGGAAGAACUCAUUCAUGGCAUUAUUAUCAGAGUAGAAUGUAAUCCUUCGCACCCUAGCAACAUUGCUGGGAUCACCAAAUGCAUUGUGCUCGGUGUGAAAGAAGUUACUUUCCUUAGCCAAAUCCACACACAAACUAUGUAACAAGUCAUGUAUGCGACAACUUGAAAUUCUUCCAUCAUAUGUCCUUUUGGCAACUUGAAUCAAGUUUCUUGAAACCAAAUCAUUUAGGAAAUCCUCCGCCAAAUUUUCAGCUUCUCGCAUAUUGCCACUAUUUACAACUAUCAACUUCUCAGCAAUCCACAUAUUUGUCAAAUCAAAAGCACGAAUUUCAUGGUCCUCGGGGAAAAGACCAAAGUACAAGAAACAUGGCCUUAAUGCAAUGGGCAAAUCAUUGUAACUCAGAGCCAAUACCUUAGCACAUCCAUCUUGAACUUUAUGGCUCAUACUCUCAAGUAACCUGUUCCAUGCACGUUCUGUUCUUUCUCUUGCCCUUAACAUGCCUGCAGUCACCACAAUGGCUAGUGGUAUACCACCACAUCUACCAACUAUACUUCUACCAAUAUUUACCAAGUCAACUGAAUGAUUAUUAUCAAAAGUAAAGAUUUUCUUGGUAAAGAGUUUAAAACUAUUCUCUGAAUCUAGAGGUUGCAAUACGUGGAUUGAGAAAUCCCCUCCUAUGUAUCUGCCUACAUUACUAUUUCGAGAGGUUAUAAUUAUCCUACUGCCAAUUUUUGAAUCACAUUCAGGAAGAAGAACAAGUUUUAGAUCAUCCCAAAUUUCAACAUUCCAAAUGUCAUCUAAGAGGAUAACAUACCUUUUUCUUUUCAAGAGUGAUCUUAGGUUGCCUUCCAAGUUAUCUUUCCUUUCUUCUUUCGUCAGUCCAACUUGUUUGGCUAUGUCAAGCAAGAUUUCUCCCGCCCUUGGCUUCUGUGAAACAUAGACCAAAUAAAGUUAAGUGACUGUCUAAGAUAAUUAUUCCUAGUUGAGUGAUUUUCUAAGAUAACUACACAUAUGUAAUGACCCUCUUGGUCAUUUUCUUGUUUUGCCUUCUGUGUGUCGUUUAGAGCAUUUCUAUAGCGACCCCAAGUCAUUUAUGGCUUGCUGGGACUGACAGUUCGGUCACCUGGUCGUUCGUUUGGUCAUAAUUUGAGUUUUAGUGUUUUGGAGCUUAUGAACUUUAAACGAUCAUUUUCGAUCAAAAGUUCAAGAAGAUGACAUCGGAAUCCAAUUCUGACGAUUCCAUCAGCUCCGGAAGGGUCAUUUUAGGCUAGAAGCAUGGUCGGCAUGACUCCCGAGGUUUUCAGUGUGAGUUGGUGCGAUUAGGCGUUUUAACCUUUGAAAUUUGGCUUAGGGUUGACUUUGGUCAACAUUCUUGGAAAACGAGCUCGGAUGGAAAUUCCGUCAGCGUGGUUAGCUCCGGAAUGUCGAGUUUGGUCUAGAUUGACCCUUCUUUGUGUCUGGAGGUUUUCGAUAUCUUUCCGAGCCUUUUUUGUGGGUUUUGACUUAAAUGGCUUUUGGAAGUGGUACCCACUUUUUAUCGAAAUGACCUCUGAUGGAAAUUUCGACUGCGCCGUUGAGUCUGGAAUAUCGAAUUUGGUAUGGUUGCAUAUCUCGUUUGCGUGCACGGGGUUCCGAACGAGAUCGGAGUACCCCGUCGGAAUUUUAAGUUUGGAAGUGUUGCAGAUUUUCUGCAAUUUAUUGCAGAAAAUCAGCAACAUUUCCCAAAUUCCAAACCCUCACAACUCUCUCAUCACUCAACCGAUUUGGGUGAUUCAAAAGGCAAAGUUGUGAGAUUUUUUCGAGGGCAACAUGUUGGUGAGCUUGGAUAGUGAUUUGGAGUCCCCGUUUGAGGUAAUUUUCGAAAAAAUACCUGCUGCCAGACCUCUUUUUGUGAGUUUGAUUUUGGAAAUUUUGAGACUUGUUUUCUUAGCCAUUGUAGAUCCGAUUUUGGUGAUUUUUGAGGUAAUCUUGAGUGGUUUUUCGAGGAGAACGUUGUGGUGUUGUUAGAUUUUACUGUAGACUGCUCGUUUUUGGUAAAUACACUGCUGUCCCAUUUCUAUCUUUGAGAAAAUUUGGGUUUUGGUUGUAUGUUGGUAGUGUGUUGUUCCCGAGCCCCGAAUUGUGUCCCAUUUUGGGAUAUGAACUGGGGGAAAACUGGUUAGGACCCACUUUUGGGGUUAAUUUCAGAAUUUCCAGCGCGGGUCCCACGAUUCCCGUUUUGACUCCAAAAUUGACCCGUCUCCGUUUGUUGUGAUUUUAGUGUCUAAACGAAUGUAAUAACGUUGUGAUUCUAUUUUUGAUAGCGGGGAAGCGUUUUGAGGACGUUCGGAAAGGGAAAGCUCCGGAGAAGUGAUUUUGGAGCGCGUGUGAUUGGCCUACAGGUAGGCUACGGUUUGGUAACUGUGAGCAUGCUUUGUGUUAUUAACGGACCCUCCUCGCUAUGUGGAGUACUUGCAUGCUUAAUUACUGUUUAUUUGAAGCAUGUUGGACCUUAGCUUAGGUUUGACUAGGGCUUGCCUUAGAAAUACAUGAUUCGGAUUCGAUAGGCCUUAGUUUUACCCCGAUGUCGCUCGGCUGACUUAGAUCCCUGUAGACUGAUAUAGCAGACUUGAGUCUGAUAGUUUGGGCCUUAUCUAGGCGAUACGCUUUUUCCGAUAAUAGUUAUCCUUAUUUUCUCCGAUACUGCGGCUUCACGAGUUGCAUCGGCAAUACUAGUUCUACUUCGCGAUUUGAAUUAGAUUUUCGAUUUGGUUCCAAGGACUUUCAUUGAUUGGCUAUGUGUGGACGACAUUUCACGGACAUUUAUAAGUACGGAUCGAUUGAGACUCCUUCAGAAGUUACAUUGGCAAAAUCAUAGAGCAUCCGGUUCGAGGUCCGGCCUCUAUUGCGUCAGAUUCUACUAAUUAGGGUUGAGGUUCUGGUUCGAUGUUCUUCGUUCAUGGGUUCUUUUAUGCAAUUCUCUUUAGUUAUAGUUAUUCUGUGUACUCGUCGGGCUUAUGGGGGUCCGUUCGGGUUUUAUAUACUUAAUACUGGUGAUUAGUUACUUGGGUACUUAUAUGGAGCAUCCGGUUCGAGGUCCGGCCUCCGUACUGUCAGAUUUUACUAAUUGGGGUUGAGGUUCUGGUUCGUGUUCUUCGUUCAUGGGUUCUUUUAUGCAAUUCUCUUUAGUUAUAGUUAUUCUGUGUACUCGUCGGGCUUAUGGGGGUCCGUUCGGGUUUUUAUUUAACUUGCGCACGAGUGUACCUUCUGGGCUUAUGGGGGUCCAGUUAGGUGUAGUUAGCUUGUAGAUUACUCUAGUUAGUUCUUUAUACACUCGUGUGCAUUUCAUUGUUAGUUAGAUUUUAGUUCUUGACUUCGGUUUGUGUUAUUCCUUCUUUUCAUACUGCCUUUACUUUUCAAGUUCAGUCGGCCUAUGAUGCCUACUGGGUACCUGUUGUUUUGGUACUCAUGCUACGCUCUGCAUCUAUUUCGUGAUGCAGGUCCGGGCACUAGAAGCCAGCGUUGAUCGAGCUUGGAGCAGACUGAUCCGGAGACGGGAGUGAGCACACGACGUUUUGUACUAUUUCAGUCUCCAUCUGUAUAUAUAGACUUGUCUUUUACCUUUCGAGACAGUCCAGUCUCUGUUGUCCACUUUUGGGACUUGUACUCAUUUUGUUAGUAGCUCUGUACUAGUGACUUCCAGGUUCUGGGAGGGAUCUUUAUUUGUAUAUAUGUUUUUGGUUUGCUUCCGCCUGUUUAUAUUGUUAUUUGCCUACUCUUGUUUAGUUUCUACCCUCAGACCCAUUACUUGUUGUUCCGGUUUACGGGUUGGCUUACCUACUGGUGGGUAGUAGGUGCCAUCAUGACUUGAGAAAUUGGGUCGUGACAAGUUGGUAUCAGAGCCCCAGGUUUAUCGGUCUCACUUGUACAGAGCUAACGUCUAGUAGAGUCCUGCAUAUCGGUGCGGAGACGUCCGUAAGUAUAGUUGAGUGACUUUUGAUUUACAAAAUAAAGUCAAGUGACUUUCUGAGAAAACUAUCAAUAGUUGAGUGACUUUUGAGAAAGAUAUUCAUAGUUGAGUGACCAUUUGAGAUAUUAUCUCAAAAGGCUUUUAUUUAGAUUAAUUUCUUAGUAAAAGAUAAGGCAAGAAGGAACUACAAAUUUUAAAGUACAACUUUUGAUAAGUUAUUCUUUUUUUAAAAACCUAACAAAAUAUUAUUUAUAGUGAACAAAUCAUCUGACAAUAAACCAAGUCAAUUCUUCAUAAUACCCAAGUCUUAUUAACUUCACCGAGUGUUAAUCUGAUAACAAUAUCAAUAAGUUAAUUUUGUGGUUGAGUUAUGGUAUACGUUUCAAUCUUGAACCGUAUUCUUAUUUUCUUAAAGAAUCAUAUUCUUAUUUUUUUCCCUAAUAACUUUAAUUAAUAAAUAAGUAGAAAGAACUAUUUUUUUCUUCUUAAUAUCAUUUUAUCAACGGAAAAGGGUCAAAAUUGCCCCUGAACUAUGUGAAAUAGACCACUUAUACCCUUCGUUACAUUUUGGGAUCAAAAUUGCCCCUGCUGUUAUCCUAAGAGACCACAAAUACCCUCAAGAGUUAACACCCCAAAUUUUUAAUUGACGUGGCAAGUUACAUGGGACUAAUUCUUCCACCUAAGUGUUGCCAAUUAGGAUUCACUAAAAAAGAACUAGACCUUUAGCAGCGACAACAGUCGCCACAAAAGCCCAGAAAAUCGUCACUAAAAGUUUUUAACAUUAAAUUCUAAUUUUGUGUUUUUUUCUUCAUUGUUUUUAAAAAAUUAAAAUAUCGAUUAAGUAGGAGUUUUAAGACACUAUAUGUUUUAUUUUUAUGUCAUAUGUAAAUGUAUAAAAUGUACAAUGAUGCAUUAUUAUAUAGUAGGAGAUUUAAAUCGAGAAGUAAUUUUGAUGAUUUUUCGUAAUAAUAUUGGAUGUUUUUUAAUAUUGAUAUUGCAAGUUAUUUAUUUUAGAAAAUUAGGUUGCAAUAUAAAAUUAAUUAUCAUAUUUUUUUUGUUGAAAAAAUAGGUUUUAUUAGUGAAUGGUUGUUGGAGCUUUAGUCGCCACUAAAAAUCACUCAUAACCUUUAGUGGCAAUAUUUUGAGAUUUUGUGGCGACUUUCUCGCCACUAAAGGUCAAGUUCUUUUAUAGUGAAUCUUAGUUGGCAAUGCUUAGGUGGAGGGAUUAGUCCCAAGUGGCUUGCCACAUCACUAAUAAUUUGGGGUGUUAACUCUUAAGGGUAUUUGUGGUCUCCUGGGAUAACGACGAGGGUAUUUUUGAUCCCAAAAUGUAAUGAAGGGUAUAAAUAGUCUAUUUCACAUAGUUUAGAGGCAAUUUUGACCCUUUUUCAUUUUAUCAAUUAAAAUAGAAUAAAUGUACAUAUCUUUUUAAUUGAUAAUAUUGGUCAUACAUAUAGGAGCAUAGUAAUUAUACAAUUUGUUUACUACUAGUUCUAACUAUUUUGUAUUAAUCAAAUAUAACUUAAAGCUAAAAAGAAAAGUACCUGAUAGGUUGGAAUUUAGCUGAUGCAGUUCCUUGAUUGGAGUAAAUAUUAAUUAUAAGUGUUUUUUUCAAAAGAUGGAAAUUGACAAAUUAACCAAUAACUUCAAUUCUAUUUAUAAGUAUAUUUUUUAUAAAAAAAUAAAUAAAUUAGUUCAAUACUUGACUUGAAUGUGAGGGUAAGAUGGGCCAUAAUUUCCAAUUUAUUCUUUACUUAAACCAUAUAUAGGCAUCUUACCUUUUUUCUCAUGAAAAAGUAAAAGGAAAGUAUAAUGUUGGAGAAUUAAAAAAAGAUAAUCAUAUUUUCACUUUUGUCUGGAUGUAAAUGUUACAAAAGAAAUAAAUGAAUAUUUCAAACGGAAGUAUUUCUCGUGAAGAACUCUUUUUUCACUUUAGUUGUAAUUAUUCCAUCGGUAGUUUUGUUACAUAUUAGUUGAUCAUUUUAUUAAAAAUAUAUAGUUGUUCAUCUUUCUAAAUGAAGAAAGCAUUAAUUUUUUUUCCUAUAUUAUCCAUGCAAUUAAUUAUUUUUUAUAGUGUUCACAUUUGUUUAUUAAAUUUUCAAGAAUUUUUUUAAAGAAUGAAUUAAUAAAAUUAACUUCUUAUUUAUGAUACUUAGUAUGCUUGUAAAAAGGAAAAUGAUCAACUGAUAUCGGGAGAGUACCAGAGGCGUAUGUACAUGAAGGGGAGUGGGUUCACAUGCACCCAUCCUCCCCUUCCUAACCCCUAUAUAAUACUACUAUUUUCUAAUUAUCUUUUCAAAUUUGUAUUGGUGAACCCAAGGUUAAAAAGAAUACUCUAGUAUAUUGAUAAGUAUGUACAAAUAGAGGGUGCAUAACUUAUAGAUUUGUGGUUCAAAUUUUUAUAUCCACAUUAAUAUUUUUAAUUUUUAAUUAAUAUAACAAAAUGUGCCACUUUUCAUAGAUCUUUUUAAUAAUUUAUAAAUAAAAAGAGGUCCAAAUACCCAUAUUUUUAGGUUGCAUUAGCUAUGUCUAGACCUUAAGCUAGAAAUGUCAAUAAAGUCAAAUUAUAUUUUUACUUUCUUUUUCUCCUUUCCUUCUUUAGACGUUUUUCUUAUUUAUUUAUUUUAACUUUUUCUUUUGACUUUUCAAAGUCCUAAUCUGAAAGGUAAAAAAGAGUAAAGACAUCAUAUUGUUCUUCUUUUGGCUUCAUUCCACUUUGUUGUUCAUGGUGAAGUAGAAGUGGGAUUUGAGAACAAGUAACAAGGUAUGCUAUCUAAAAAUAAAUAAAUUAUUUAUUAAUGUACUUCAUUUGUUUUAUAUGUUUUUCUUGAUUUAUGAAGUGGUGCCAUUAUUUGAUUGCUUGAAUAAUUAAAUUUAUAAGAAUUUCUUGAUUUCUAAAUAGUUAUCUAAGAAUUGUGAUUCUUUUAUUAGUAAACUUGUUAUUUGUGUUAAUAUUUUUUAAAAAUUAUUUUGUUUUGAUAAGAUUGAAUAGAAGUGUGAAUAUUUAAUUUUGUAGGUAAAAUAAUUCUUACAUUCAAAUCAUCAAAUCACAAAUGGAUAAGUUUCUCAUCAAGUUACCAAAGCCUAAAGAUGGCCAACCAAGUUCUAGCUCUAAUAAACCAUUUGUGAGUUCACAAGUUGCUCCGGAAGUUCAAAGACAUAUAAAUUCUUUUCCACUUUUAAAUACGGAUAAUAUGCUUGAUUUUAAAUCUCUUGAAGCAGAUCCCAAAGACCGAAUGCCUAUUUCAUCUUAUGGUCCUAAUAUUCGAGAUGCGGUAAGGAGGUAUUACAUUCAAAAAAAGCCAUGUCAACUUGUUGAUCAUAUCUUCCCUAAAACUAAGUUUGGAGAUAAAAUGCGUCAAUUUCGACCAACUUGGUUUAAGAGAAGAUCUCAAUGGUUGGAAUAUAGCAUUAAAGCAGACGCGGCAUUUUGUUUGUGUUGUUAUUUGUUCAAGAUUGAACUUGAAAGACUGUCGGAGAUUCAUUUACAAGAGCUGGUUUUAGGUGUUGGAACAAAGCUUUAGAAAGAUUCAAAAACAUGUUGGUAAGGUAAAUAGUAUCCAUCAUAAAUGUUUCAAUAGGAUGCAAGAUUUGAUAAACCAACGACAAUUGAUCCAAUCUUCUUUUGACAAGCAAAGUGAAAAGGCAAGAAGUGAUUAUCGGAUGCGUUUAAAUGCCUCAAUUGAUGUAGCAAGAUUUCUUUUGACAUCGGGAUUUCCAUUUCGUGGACAUGAUGAAAGUGAAGGUUCUGAAUAUAAGGGUGCUUUUCUUGAACUUUUGAAAUGGUAUGGGAAUAGAAGUUUUGAUGUGGGAAGAGUAAUAUUAGGUAAUGCUCCACAAAAUGAUAUGAUGAUUUGUCCGACAAUUCAAAAAGAUAAUGUGGAGGCUUGUGCUAAAGAAACAACUAAGGCUAUCAUUGAAGACUUGGACGGUGACUAUUUUGCAAUAUUAGUUGAUGAAUCAAAUGAUGUUUCUCAUAAGGAGCAAAUGGCUCUAAUUUUGAGAUAUGUCAACAAAAGUGGAAUGGUGAUAGAGUGAUUCUUGGGUAUUGUCCACGUAAAUGAUACAUAUUCUCAAUCAUUUAAAAAGACAAUUUAUUCUUUGCUUUUGGAUCACUCAUUAUGUACAUCCAAAAUACGUGGUCAAGGUUAUGAUGGGGCUAGUAAUAUGCAAGGGAAAAUAUGUAACAACCCAGAAAAAAUUUAAGCUAAGACUUGAACUAUUCUUCGUUGUGAGUAGGGUUUUUUCGAGGAAUUAAAAUUUCUUAAGUGUUAAGGUCACUAGAUGUAGCACCUUGAGUUCGAGAAGGAAUUAAAUUGGAAAUAGUAAAAUCUGAAAUUUUGCAAGUUAUGAUUAAGUAUGAGUUUUGGGUCGACUUAAAACGACUAUAACUCCUAGCUCAGGAUGAGUUAGGUGUAGAUAAUUUUAUUGUCUAUGCUCAAAAGUGUGAUAGCAAGUUUCUCAACUUGAAGGGAAUCAAGCAUCUUAGCGAAGAUCUUUGAAUUAUAUUUCCAACGCCACCAAAUUUGCUAAGUUUCGAGUUCGAAAGAGUGAGAUAUGACCUUUUGAAGUUAGGCUGUCCAGUUAAGGAAAGUCAAAAUCGGAUUUUAGAGGGGUAUUUUGGUCUUUUCCAUACCCAAUCAGAUUUAAUUCGUUUUUAGUAAUAUUUUAAGGGUAUAAUCUGAUUAGGUUCAGUUUAAUAAUCCUAGUUUACGCCUAGGGUUUUAGUUGAGAUUUCAAGAAGAGAAAAGAAGAAAAGAGAAGAAGAGAAAAGAGAAAGGAUGAAGGCGUUUGUCGACGUUCUUGAGAGUUGUUGCGGAUUGUCUUAUUGAUAUGAAAACUCGUCGAGGACAAUUGUAAGUGAAUGAUGGAUGAAGAUCUUUUGAAUGGUUGUUUAGUUUGCUAUAUAGAGCGUAGUAUAUUUAAAAAUGUAAGUAAUGAUGCCAUUAUUGAUAUGAAAACUCGUCGAGGACAAUUGUAAGUGAAUGAUGUUUUUUGCUAAUAUAUUACUAUAUAAAGAUUGCUACUACCUACUUUCUCGUCAACUUGUUCUCACCGUAAAAUUUAUAUAAUUGAAUUAAUUGUCUAUUUUGAAGAUAAUGGUGCCCCCAUGUUCUUGAGAUCCUGGAUACGCCUUUGACUCCAAGGCCUGUAUCUAUUUAACAAUAAAUUGCAGGGACAUAUUCCAGAGACGAUAUGCCAUUUAUCUAAUUUGGUUGAAUUAUAUCUGUAUGGUAAUAAGCUCUCUGGGUUAAUUCCAGAAUGCUACAACUGCUUUCUUUGCAUUCUAACAAAUUAUCUUUAAACUUUCCGUUGAGCCUUUGGAAGAUGAGUAGUCUUCUCUAUCUAAGUGUGUCACAGAAUUCAAUAGAGGGAGAAGUUCCAUCAGAUAUUGGAGGACUGAAAGCCAUUGUAGAACUAUAUCUUUACAGUAACCACUUUUCAGGAAUGAUACCAAGCACAUUCGGGGAACUCCAAAACCUGCAGUAUCUUGAUCUGUCCAACAAUUCUUUUUUUGGCCAAAUUCCAUUAUCCUUUGCCAACUUGAUAAGCUUAGAUUACUUGAAUUUGUCUUUAAAUGCCUUGUCCGGUACUAUUCCUAAGUCUUUGGAAAAACUCGCAUACCUUAAAAGCAUUAAUGUUUCAUUUAAUGAUUUAGAAGGUGAAAUACCGAGUGGAGUGUUUGAAAAUUCCACUUUGCAAUCAUUUCUCGGGAACAAAGGUCUUUGCGGAAUGCACAUAUUGGAGAUUCCUGCUUGUGCUAUCACUAAUCCCAGAAAACAAUCAAAGCUUAAGGAGGUUGUGCUAAAAAUUGUUACUCCAGUGGUUAUUGCAUCCUUUCUGAUAUUCUUGUUCGUUUCAAUUUGGAUAAUGAAACGACAGAGAAAGGGAUGUCCAAAGAUGUUGAAAAGGUAUUGGAGAUCGGGACUCAUCAAUUAAUUUCUUAUCAUGAGAUUCAACGAGUAACAAAUAAUUUUGAUGAAUCCAAUUUAAUAGGUGAGGGAAGCUCUGGCUCUGUGUACAAAGGAACAUUGUUUGGUGGAACUGCAGUGGCCAUUAAGGUUCUCGAUUUGGAAAAUGAGCAAGUAUGCAAGAGGUUUGAUACCGAAUGCGAAGUGAUGAGAAAUGUUAGACACAUAAAUCUUGUUUCAGUGAUUACUACAUGUUCUAAUGACUAUAUAAGAGCCUUUGUUCUGCAAUUUAUGCCCAAUGGAAGUCUUGAGAAUUGGCUGUACAAAGAAGAUCGCCACUUGAACCUUCAUCAAAGAGUCACUGUAAUGCUUGAUGCAGCUAUGGCAGUUGAAUAUCUACUUCAUGCAGGGGCAUAUAUAGGAGGGGGUCACCGGGUUCACGUGAACCCAUGGUUCCCUCCGAAAAUCAUAUAUAGUAGUGUUAUAUUUUUUUAAAAUAUUUAAAUAUAGAUGCGUGAACCCAGACUCGAAGUAUCAUAUAAUGUAGUACGAUGAUGAUUGGGUGCACCUCUCUAGGUGAGGUUAAAAAUUUGAAUCUUUUAUCUAUCUUGUUUUAGUUUUCUUUCUAAGAUUUUGUAACUGGUUUGGAUCAAUAAAAGUUAAUUUUGGACCUAUGAUUUUAAAAUUUUAAUGGUUUUCAGUAAAAAGAAUAUAACUGAUCAAAUUUAUGUCUUAGAUCCACCUUAUUGUAAUAGUGCACCCAUUAUCUAUAAAUCCUGAAUACGCCUCUGACUUCAUGGUCAUGUCGCUCCAAUAGUUCAUUGCGACUUAAAGCCAGCAAACGUUCUUUUGGAUGAGGAUAUGGUCGCUCAUGUUGGUGAUUUUGGAAUCUCUAAGAUUUUAGCUGUCAGCAAGUCCAUGGCACAUACAGAGACAUUGGGGCACUCUUGGAUACAUUGCACCAGGUAUAAAAAGCCUACUCUCAUUGAUUUUCUCUUAUCAUAAUUAUAUUUCAAUUGAGUAACUUUUGUGCAAUCCUUUUCUACGAAUAUGGCUCGGAGGGAAUAGUGUCCACUAGUGGUGAUGUUUAUAGCUAUGGCAUCAUGUAGAUGGAGGUUUUGACGAAAAGAAGGCCAACAGAGGAAGAGAUAUGCAAUGGAAAUCUCGACUUGAGAAAAUGGAUUACACAAUCAUUUUCAGGGAGUAUGAUGGACGUUGUGGAUGCCAAUCUUUUUUGUGAGGAAGAACAAACCACUAGUAAAAGUGAAAUGUGCAUAGCCUCCAUGAUAGAAUUGGCUUUAGAUUGCACAAAGGAAGCGCCACAAUCAAGAGUGACCAUGAAAGAAGUAGUGAAGAGGCUUAACAAAAUCAAGAAUGCAUUUCUAGAAACAUAGAAUUGCAAAUUAAUAUGAUGCUUUUUGUUGUUUAAUAAAGUUGUCGUAUAGUACUACUUGAAUUCAUGUAUUGUUUGUAAUUUCAUUUGAGUGAUUAUGUUUUGAAUGCUUGAAAGAAAUCAGAAAUAAAGGUGUUUAGCUGCACGAUUUUGUUUUUUGAAUGUGAUGAAACAAUUAGUGAAUUGAGCACUUUUGAUUUCCUUGUACUAAUUAAUUACUGUAAACAAUUAGGGAAUUGAGCACUUUUCAUUUUCUUGUACUAAUUAAUUACUGACUUCUUUGGACUUUACCUGCACAAGUAUUCCAACAAGCCUAUCUUAACACCAGAGAGUUCCAAAAGAAAAAUUGGUAACCUGAGCCAGCUUCCAAUUUUGUCCUUGGUCGAUAAUCAUUCCCGAAACACUGUUGUCCCUAUCUGAGCCAGCUUCCAUUUUUUCACAAACAGUGUAACAUUUAUAUAAGCGAGCAAUAAACAUCUCUAUUAUAACCUUAGUAAGCUCAGUAUGAGUAUUAUGGUUGAGUUUCAAGCGAAAACAAGUUUAGCAAAAAAGACGAGAAAUAAUGGUAAAAAACACUUUUGAAGUAUCAUUUUUUUAGCGAGUUUCAUGCCUGAAAGGUUUUUUAAUUUCCUGCUUGAACUGCCACCAACUAUUUAUUAGAACAUACCUCUCGAAUUCUAUAUUUAUAUUAAAUGGUUAAGCAACAUACAAUUUUUUCCAAACUUGUCUUAGACUGCAUGACCUCUCAUUGACUUGGUUCUGGACCAUAUAAUAAAUAAUGCAACUUAUUUAAUUAAAAAAAAAUAUGAUUUUAAUAAUACAAGUUGACUGACUUUUCUCAAUCAAUUCCCUUACCCCUCAGUAUACGCAUAAUUGACCUGUCUUCUUGUGGUUUUGUCUUUAUAAAGUUGGCCUAUGUAAUAUUCCUCAAUGAGAUGACAUUUCAAUAACGUGUAAUAAUACAUCACAGAAAAGUUUGUGGAAAUCACAACCAUAUCUAUAAAAUGAUUUGACUUUAAAUAUUUCAUUCAAUAUGAAUUUUAUAGUUUAGGUAUGAAACUUGCAAAACAAAAAUAGUUCAGUGGUUUAUUAACCUAUUCAAUCUUAAACGAAUGCUAUGAUCACUUUAUCUUUCAGUUACAUAUUACACAUAAAAGUUGUUCAAGAAUAUUAUAUAUUCACAACAAUUAUUAAUUAUAGUGAAUGAAAAAAUAUAUUAUGUAUGAUUUCAGAUUCACUGUUAUGUAAUCGAAAUGCACAAACAAGUUUCUAGGGGAAGAUUUACCAUAAUUAUAACGAUGAACAGGCCGUAGAUAAAUUACUUUCUGGGUAAGCAUUGUGCAUGUAGCUAGUUACGACCCGAUUUCGAAGACUAAGGUUUCGAAGCCAUUUUCGCAACUUUGGCAAAUUUUAGUUAGGUUUUGGAAAAAUUUAUAAUUUGGAAGUCGCCAUUUAAUUUUUUAGGAAAAAUUAAGAAAGCCAUUUAAAAGUGGGUUUUAUGAAAGAAAACAUUUCAACAAAACUAGAGUCGGGAAAGGGUUCAAGUAAUUCUCUAAGGAAGGGUUUAGGCAUCUUAAAGAAUCUGCUAACACUUGAUUGACCGAUGGAUUUAAAAGUUGGCUAAUUUUUUUUAAAGAUAACUUAUUACUUGUGAAAAUCUUGUUGAGAAUAACAAAAGCCUUUUGAUACUUAUACACUAAUCUUAUUCCAAGUAAUGAAAUAAGUCAAAUGCUAAAGUGUCAAAAUAAUAAUUUUAAAUUUAACAUUUUAUCCGAGUUAAGAUUUUGAACUAAAUGGUUAGCUCAAUCUCACCAACGUGGAUUCAAAGCUAAUUGCUAACUAUGAAAGAAUAUGGAAAAAUCUCAAGUUAGUCUAAGAGCUUAAGUUGCCUAACUUGAAAGAGUUUUGAAAAUUUAAAUACUUAAAGUAGACAACUAACGAAAUAGAAGAGCCAUUAAAAAACUCCCAAGGAUUCAUCUAAGUUAGAUAUAAGAAGAAAAUGUUAGCAUUUCUAAAAUAAGAACAGAAACAAGAUAACACAAAUAAAUAACAAGAAUCUAGGCUCUUGGCCUAAAAUGCUCCUCACUUACUGUUACGGUAUAAAUUGGACCUUUUUAAGUCCAAAAGUUCCCAAUUUUAGUCCUUUUGGGACUGCUUCUACUGCUGCAAUAAUCAAAUUGGAUUCUUAAAUCCAAAAUUCAAUUUUCGGCCAUUUGGAAUUGUUGUUACUCCGCUACUUAGCUGCUGCCACUGAUUUGGGUUUUAACCCAUUAAUAUUAGCUUCCCCUUUAUAACUUUGGCGGAGGUCGACUCAAAGAAAGGAAGAUGCAAGAGAGGGGAGUCCAAUUGGACUCAUUCGGAGGGAGUUCCUGCAAAGUAGAGAAAAGGAAGAAGAAUUAGCACAUGUAGCGAGAAAAUGACACUUCAGUUUUAAACAUUCAAACACAAGGAUGAAAUUAACCAAAUAAAACUAUCGUGAACAAAGGGGGAAAAGAAACAGAUCCGAAGCUAUUGCUAAGUUCAUAAAUCCACAAAAUGAUUAAUUAGUCACUGGACCUUUUGAUCUAUACAACCAGCAAAAGGCAUACUUACAAUGGCCAAAAUUGUACUAAACAUGCAAACGUAAUCAGCCAUCAGUUAAAUAAAAGAAAAGAUAGUAGCGUUCCGAUUUUAGCUUAGACUUCAUAUAUCAUUGACUAGUGACUUCUUUCACCAAAAACAAGCUCAACGUACAUAUCUAUAACAAAACUACAAAAGCAGACCCCAAAAGCAGAGCCUUCAGGCAACAACUUCUUUUGAAAUCGAAAAACAAAACACCACUUUAUAUAAUUAAGACGAUAAAAAAAAGAAUUCCAGAUUUGAACCAAUGAAAAUCGAACAUAGUCUAACAGAAGGAGUACAACUAUAUUCAGAAAAAUGAGAACUGGACAGAUUUUAAAACAAAGAAAACUAAUUAAAUAUCUCAAACUCAAACCAAUCUUUAAAGCAGGGGAUUUAAAAAAGAUUGCUAAAGCAAAAGACUACUACAAGAAGCUUUACCAGGAGACAAGCAGAGAACAUUCAAUACUAAAUAACACGUCUCAAAUAAUCAGUUUAAGGCACAAAAUAGAAAGAAAUUGCUAAAUGAGCUCACAUUUAAAAAUCAAAACGACACCAACAUCUAUUUUGAGAAACAAAGAAACCUUGAAAUAAUCCGCAUGAUACAGAGGAAUUAAAAGGAGACUUAACCAUCCAAACUAAAAAAUAAAUAAAAAAUGUCUAGCAUAAGACAAACAAGAAGCUUCUCAUCCAUUUCCGAUACAACUAAGAAAAACUAAAACUAUUAAGAGCGAAUUUGCGGGUAUUUAAGAAACUAUUAAGACAAGAAAUAAAAUACUAAGACCUUAGUUUUAAAUCUAAUUAACCAAUUUACAUAUUCAAGUUUUCAAAUCAGUGAACUGUUAGCCAUAACACAUAACAAAAAUUAGCAUCUACAAUAGAAAUUAACAUAUAGAGUAGAAACUAUACCAAGCAAGAAUAAAUAGUCUAGAACAGAAAACUUAACAACAUAAAAAUAAAGAAACUUAUGAGACUAAACCCACAUAAAACAACAAAGAAAUCAUACUAUCCAAAUGCUCGAACCAACUUAAGGAGAGAAAAGAAUUUACCUUUUGCCGAGCAGGAACCAAGACGACGAGCUCGAGAAUGACACCACCUUCAACUCUGUUGGUAAAUUUUAGUAGUAUGAGUUUUAGAAAGCAGAGAAGUCAAGAAGAAUAUUGGUAGAAGAACAUUUUUAUUGAUGUCUUCAGAUUUCAUUUAUAAGACUGGAAUGAAAAACAGAAAGCAGUAAACCCACUACUAGCAUAUUCCUAACUCACUAACUUACUCCUAAAUGAUAGGAAUAAAUGGCUAACAACUAAUUGACUAAGUCUUAUCUAAUAUAAUGCAGUAAAAGUAAAAGUGCAGUUGAAAAAGCAAAUUCCUAACACUCCUCCUUGCUUUGGAAACUGCAAACUCCAAUUUUCUGUCUAAGAAGCUGAAACUUGCCGACUGGUAAAGGCUUAGUGAAUAUAUCAUCCAAUUGUUCUUCCGUCUUGCAGUAGACAAGAGUUAUAUCUCCAUCUUUUUGCACUUCUCUCAAGAAAAAGAACUUGAUUUUGAAGUGCUUAGUUCUUCCAUGAAACACAGGAUUGUGAGAUAUAGCUAUUGCUGCUUCAUUGUCCACGAACACUUUGAUGCUUCCAGUCGGUUCCAUAUGCAAAUCAACCAGAAUUUUCUUCAGCCACAAUGCUUGAUUUACUGCUGCUGCAGCUNNNNNNNNNNNNNNNNNNNNNNNNNNNNNNNNNNNNNNNNNNNNNNNNNNNNNNNNNNNNNNNNNNNNNNNNNNNNNNNNNNNNNNNNNNNNNNNNNNNNNNNNNNNNNNNNNNNNNNNNNNNNNNNNNNNNNNNNNNNNNNNNNNNNNNNNNNNNNNNNNNNNNNNNNNNNNNNCCUGAAGUACUCUUUGCAUCAUCCUCGGAACCGCCCCAAUCACUGUCGGAAUACCCACAAAGCUUCACAGGUUGACUCUUCUGAAACUUGACUCCAUAGGUGAUGGUUCCUUUGAUGUAUCGCACAACUCUUUUGGCUGCCUGCAAAUGUACUUCACUAGGACAAUGCAUGAAUCUUGAUAAAACACUUACAGCAUACAAUAUAUCAGGUCUUGUUGCUGUAAGAUACAUUAAACACCCAAUGAAACUUCUGAAGUAUGUCUCAUCCACCUUUUCGGCUCCAUCAUCUUUACUUAGUUUCUCUUUUUGGUUCAUGGGAGUACUAAUCUCUUUGCAAUUGUCCAUUUUGAAUUUCUUGAGAAUUUCCUUUGCGUACUUUUUCUGGCAAACGAAAAACUCAUCUUUUCCUUGUGUAAUCUCCAUUCCAAGGAAAUAUGUCAUAAGACCAAGAUCAGACAUUUCAAAAGCUGGCAUCAUAGCUUGCUUGAACUCCUCAAUUAGCUUUUCACUGCUCCCUGUAAUCAAAAGGUCAUCCACAUAAAGAGAAACAACAAGAAUCUCACUGCCAUUAUGUUUAACAUACAAUGUGAAUUCUGAAAGACUCUUUUCAAAAUCGAGACCGAGAAAAUAAUCAUCUAUUCGACUAUACCAAGCUCUUGGUGCUUGUUUUAAGCCAUAAAGAGCUUUAUGUAGUCGAUAGACUUUAUCUUCCUUUCCAUCUAUAACAAAUCCUUCAGGUUGCUCAACAUAAAUUUCUUCUUCAAGAAUGCCAUUAAGAAAUGUUGAUUUGACAUCUAUUUGAUGCACUUUCCAGCCACGUUGUGCAGAAACAGUUAUAAGCAAUCUGAUUGUGUCGAGCCUAGCAACAGGAGCAAAAGUGUCAGAAUAAUCUACACCAAAAAUCUGUGCAUAACCCUUAACUACAAGCCUUGCUUUAUGCUUGUUGAUUGAACCAUCAGCAUUUAGCUUGGUUCGGAACACCCACUUUACCCCAAUUACUUUUCUGCCUUGAGGUUUGUCAACAAGUUGUCAUGUAUCAUUUUUUUCGAUCAUAAACAACUCCUCCUCCAUUGCAUUUCUCCAAUUGGGGUCUUUUAGAGCAUCUUUAGGGUUAGCAGGUUCACGAAUCGCAACAUUGCAUCUCUCAUAUAUAUCAGAGAGCAAUCGAGUUCCCCGAACUGGUGGAUCAUCGUCCCUUUCAUUUAACCACGAGCUUGUUUUUUGGAUGGAAUUCCUUGAGUCAUCCCAAUCCCAUUCUUCAUUCUCCAUGAAGUGGACAUCUCUGCUGAUAAUUAUCUUCUCACCUUCAGGUUGAAAGAUUUUGUACGCUUUUGAAACAUUACUGUAGCCAAUAAAAAUGCCCGGGGCAGCCUUCUUAUCUAGUUUAUCCCGUUUGACCUGAGGUACAUAGGUAAAACAAAGACAACCAAACACUUUAAGAAAAUGCAGUGGAGGCUUGUAUCCAUACCAUGCUUCAAAAGGAGUUUGAUCUUUCACAGCUUUUGAGGGAAGUCGAUUUUGUAGGAACAUAGUUGUACUUGCUGCCUCUGCCCAAAACAUCUUUGGCAAAUUCUUUUCGUGCAACAUACAUCUUGCCAUCUCCAUGAUAUAUCUGUUUCUUCUCUCACUAACUCCAUUUUGUUCUGGAGUAUAAGGAGCAGUAAGUUGACGUUCAAUCUCUGCUUCUUCACAAAAUAGAUCAAACUGAUGAGAAUUGUACUCCUUGCCAUUGUCAGAUCGUAAAAUCUGAAUUUUGCAGCAACUUUCAUUUUCCAACUUCGCUUUCAACUUCGAAAAAAUGAUCUUGACCUCCGAUUUAUACUUUAAAAAAUAAAUCCUGCAUCUUCAGGUCAGAUCAUUAAUAAAAAUAACAUAAUAAAGACUACCUUUAAGUGAAGGAGUCCUUUGGGGCCCUCCAAUAUCGGUGUGAACCAGCUGCAACUUUCUUGUUGCUCUCCAAGUUGCCUUUGGGAAUGGAAGUCUACUUUGUUUUCCAAAUUGACAAGCCCGACAAUUUUUAGAACUCGCUCCCAGUUUAGAAAGGUUCUCGACUAUCACCAAUUCUUGCAUUUUGAGAAGCCCUUGAUAAUGAUAGUGUCCGAGUCUCUUAUGCCAUAACUCGGAAGCAUUUUCUCUUGCCGAAUACACCACUUGUUCUUCCUCCAAUGGAUUUAAUGAGAAACUUCUGCCUCUCAUUUUGACUUUAAACAAGUCAUGUCCUGAGGCUUCCUUGAUCAAGCAAUGAUUAUUUUUGAAAUACAAUUUGAAACCUUUUUCUAACAAUUGACCAACACUUAACAAGUUCUGAUCUAAAUCUGGUACAUAAAGAACAUCGGAAAUUGCUUUAGUACCUGAUUGUGUUUCAAUUGUAAUAGUUCCCAUUCCUUUUACCGGAAUAGAACCGCCAUGACCUAUUCUGACUUUUGUAACUCCAGUAGGCUUCAAGUCUUUAAAGAUCUCUUUGUCAUGAGUCAUAUGGUUUGUGCAUCCGCUAUCAAUCAGCCAAGACUCAGUUGAAACAUUGCUUACAAAACACGAUGCCACAAAGAGUUGAUCCUCUUCCUGUUCAUUAACAACCUGGGCAUCUGCGUCUUGCUACUGUAAUUUACUCUUGCAAAUAAUUGCUUCAUGCCCGAGUUGGUUGGACUUACUGCAUUUAGCAUCAGGCCUUUUCCAACACUUAUACGGCGCAUGACCAUUCUUUCCACAAUGCUUACAAGGAGGAUAGUUUCCUUUAAAGCUACCUGUUUUGCUUUUGUUGUUGUAACGAGCUGCUCCUUCUCCAUUUUUUGGCUGGUUCUUCUUAUUGUUUUUCUUUUUGUAUCUUCCACUCUCUUCAUGUUUGGCCGCCAAUGCUCCCUCUCUNNNNNNNNNNNNNNNNNNNNNNNNNNNNNNNNNNNNNNNNNNNNNNNNNNNNNNNNNNNNNNNNNNNNNNNNNNNNNNNNNNNNNNNNNNNNNNNNNNNNNNNNNNNNNNNNNNNNNNNNNNNNNNNNNNNNNNNNNNNNNNNNNNNNNNNNNNNNNNNNNNNNNNNNNNNNNNNNNNNNNNNNNNNNNNNNNNNNNNNNNNNNNNNNNNNNNNNNNNNNNNNNNNNNNNNNNNNNNNNNNNNNNNNNNNNNNNNNNNNNNNNNNNNNNNNNNNNNNNNNNNNNNNNNNNNNNNNNNNNNNNNNNNNNNNNNNNNNNNNNNNNNNNNNNNNNNNNNNNNNNNNNNNNNNNNNNNNNNNNNNNNNNNNNNNNNNNNNNNNNNNNNNNNNNNNNNNNNNNNNNNNNNNNNNNNNNNNNNNNNNNNNNNNNNNNNNNNNNNNNNNNNNNNNNNNNNNNNNNNNNNNNNNNNNNNNNNNNNNNNNNNNNNNNNNNNNNNNNNNNNNNNNNNNNNNNNNNNNNNNNNNNNNNNNNNNNNNNNNNNNNNNNNNNNNNNNNNNNNNNNNNNNNNNCAAGGUAUGUGAGCUUUUAGUGUUGGGUGAUCCUUUCCCCCACACACCUAGCCCUUUUUUUUCUUAUCAAGAAAGGAUGGGCUUGUUGAUAAAGUUGUUAGUUGUUGUGGUUGNNNNNNNNNNNNNNNNNNNNNNNNNNNNNNNNNNNNNNNNNNNNNNNNNNNNNNNNNNNNNNNNNNNNNNNNNNNNNNNNNNNNNNNNNNNNNNNNNNNNUGGAUCCAUUAGGAAGUUCAGGUCCUAUACCUUUGGCUGGGUAUAACAUGCGCUGGCAGCGUGAGGUAGAUCGUUGUAUCAUCACUAUAGCUCUUAAGUGAUGGUUGUCGGUUAGAGAAACUCCCACAAAAGUUAUUGUAUUUUUAUAUGCACGGUUGAUUGUAUUUUUACAUACAUUUCAGAGUUAUGUUGUAUCCUUGCAUACACACAGAGUUGACAGCAUGUUUUUAAAUAGUUUGUUUCUUUAUAUUGCACUUGUUUUAAAUUGCUUUAUAUUCAAAUGAGUUCAGCCAUAUUGAGUUGAGUACCCAGAGUCGAAUAUCAUAUCUUUGAGUUGAGUAUCUAAUCUCUGAGUUGAGUAUCUUAUCCUUGGGUACUUCUGAGUUGAGUAAUUUGAGUAGUUUUGAGUAUCCUUGAGUAUUCCUUGAUUUGAGUAAGUUUCAGAAGAGAUAAGUAUGCUUCCUUUUUAUCAAGUUUCAAGCUUAUGUUAUGCUUUAGAAUUCCCCUUACAUGCUCGUACAUUCCACGUACUGAGUCAUUUGACCUGCACUUUCUCAUGAUGCAGACACAAGUAUUCAGGAUCAUCAACAGGAGCUUCGUUGAUACAUCCGAGAGUUCGAGGUAGCUAUGGUGAGCCUCCUAGUUUCCGAAGGAUUUCAUUUACUUUUAAGUUUAGUCAGGAUGUCGUGGGUCUUGUCCCGACUUCCAUCUUUAUCAAUUAGAGGUUUUCAUAGAUAGUCAGUAUAGUUGAGAAGUCUGUAUCAUUUAUUUUAUUAAAUGUUUUAAAGACUUAAGUUGCCUAUUUUAUGGCGAGUUGAAUAAUUUAUUUUAUUAUUCAGAGUUUUCAUUUGAGUUAAAGUUGUAAUUUAAGUUUUAUGUAACUUUUGUUUCUAGUUUUAAGCUUUGUAUGCUUGAAUCUAGUUUUCCGCUUGUAGUCAGCCGAGGAUGGAGGGUUCGCUUGGGGACCAGCAAUGGUCUUCGAGUGCCGGCCACGUCCAGGGUGUAGGCUCGGGUCGUGACAAAAUAAAUGGUCUCAAGUCUUUAAUUUUACAAGAUACAUCAUCUGCAUAUUCUAUUCACUGUUUUGCUCACCAAUUGCAAUUGGCACUUCUAGGUCUUUCCAAAAAGAAUUAGGAUGUGGAUAAUUUUUUUUAUGUUCUCACUAAUAUUUUGAAUACUAUUGAAGCUUCAUUUAAACGCAGAGAUUCACUUCGACAACAUCAAGAAGAUAAGUUGGAAAAGUUGCUUAAAUUUGGAGAAGUUCAUACAGGGUAAGGUUUGAAUCAAGAACGUGGCCUCCAACGACCGGGUGAUACUCGUUGGGGGUCUCAUUUUAAAACCUUGGACAAUUUCCUAAUUUUUUUUUCUUCAAUUGUUAAUGUGCUUAAGAAUAUGAAACGUGAUUGUCCAUAUCAUCUUGAUAGAUUUGCGGCGGAAAAUCUUUUGAGCAAGAUUCAUGAAUUUGAAUUUGUCUUUAUGUUGCACUUGAUGUUUAAGGUGUUGCUAUUGACGAAUGAGUUGAAUAAAGUUUUACAAAAGAAAGAUCAAAUAUCGUAAUGCUGUGGGAUUGCUUGGCCUUUCAAAGAAACGAUUGCAAAUGAUGAGAGAGGAUGAAUGGGACUCUAUGAUGGAUGAGGUUAGCUUAUUUUGUGGUAAACAUGGAAUUUCAAUUCCCAAAAUGAAUGAAGACUACUCUAAUGGGAAGUCGAAGCGUAAGAGGUCCAAUAUUUCAUAUUUGCAUCACUUUCGUGUGGAAGUAUUUUAUGCCGUCAUUGAUUUGGCACUUCAAGAACUCAAUAAUCGUUUUGAUGUGGUGACUAGUGACUUGCUCCUCGGUAUGGCUAGUUUGAGUCCGGUUGAUUCAUUUGCUAAUUUUCACAAGGAUAGGAUAAUGAAACUAGCCGAGUACUACCCAAGUGAGUUUGGUGAUAAAGAGCUUCGGGAACUCAAUUUUCAACUUGAUGAUUUUAUUGUCUAUGCUCAAAAGUGUGAUAGCAAGUUUCUCAACUUGAAGGGAAUCAAGGAUCUUGCAAAAGUGAUGAUAGAGACAAAACUAGAUCAAACUUGGUCACUUGUGUAUCUACUUGUGAAGCUAACUUUGAUUAUUCCUGUUGCUACCGCAAGCGUGGAAAGAGCAUUCUCAUCAAUGAAGUACAUAAAGAAUGAUUUGCGUAAUAGGAUGGAUGAAGAUCUUUUGAAUGGUUGUUUAGUUUGCUAUAUAGAGCGUAGUAUAUUUAAAAAUGUAAGUAAUUAUGCCAUUAUUGACCGUUUUCAAAAUAUGAAAACUCGUCGAGGACAAUUGUAAGUGAAUGAUGUUUUUUGCUAAUAUAUUACUAUAUAAAGAUUGCUACUACCUACUUGCUCGUCAACUUGUUCUCACCGUAAAAUUUAUAUAAUUGAAUUAAUUGUCUAUUUUGAAGAUAAUGGUGCCCCCAUGUUCUUGAGAUCCUGGAUACGCCUCUGGAGAGUACGUAAUAAAACAACUUGCACUUCGGGUGAUAGUGAAGAAAAUUAUAUACAUUCCCUUUAUUAAAUAAAAUACUUUGAUUUAUUUCUCAUCUUAAACCUAUUAAUUUUCACAAAUAUGAUUACUUAAAAUAAUUAUCAGCCAUAUAUUAUUGAGAAGUUAAUGUUUUUGACGAUUAACACUAGAAAGAAUUUGUAAAAUGUGAGCUAUAUAUCAAUUCCCUACUUGCACUUGCUAUAACAGGUAGUAAUUUAUAUUAGAGGGGUGAAAAAAUCUAAUCGAUCGAUAAACUAAAAUGAAAAAAGUGCUAUUGAUUUAUUGUUAUUGGGUUAUUGGGUCAACGAGGUUUUAAUGGUUUUAUAGAAAGAAAAAAAAUAUUGGGUUACCGGUUCGAUUUUAAUUUUUAAUAUUGGGUUAUUGGGUAUAACGAUAACCCAAUAAGACUAUAAUAAUUUACUAUUUUACUCAUACAUAAACAUUAAAUAUUAAUCGCAAUACCUUACUAGUUAGUGCAUUUGUCCUUUCACCUUCACAUCACACUUCACAGUGAUCACUUUAAGUUCAAAAAUUCACAUUAUACAAAACGUCAAAAUAUAAAGUAAGAAGCAUAUUCCUCUUAGUUUUUUUUUGUGUUACACUUGUAUAAUUCUUUUCAUGUUAGUUAUUAUUGUUUCUAUUUUAUGAGUAUUUGUAAAGUUACGGUAUUAUCUUGCCGCGUUAAAUUGUUUGAGAAGUCAUAUAUUUGUUUUAUAAGUAUUUUCUUAUUGGUUAAAUCAAAUAUCGAACCGCUAAGGACCCAAAACCAAUAAAAAAAUAUUUAAUUGAUUUGGUUAUUGAUUAAACGAAUUUAUAAACCGAUAAAUCAAACCAAUAAAAUACGACCCUAAUUUAUAUUUGCGAGUAUUGAUUAUUGAAGAAGAGAAGAAACGAAAGCUACUGCUAAUUCCAAAGGUAAAUAUACAUAAGUGAUAAGACAAUAAAUAAAUAUGUUUUACAAAUCACAAGCCACAAAUACAUCAAGCAAUCAAACAUUUAUUUAUUUAUUUAUUACAAUUACAAUUUACAAUCAAUCAUUCUGAAAUGCAUCUGCAAUUCAUUAGACAUAAAAUAUUUAGUUGAUUCAUUAAAUAAAAUUGUAAUUAACGUAGCAAACUAACCUAUUGACGCAUUGUGAAUUUCAUAUUCUCAGCUUUGCAAGACGUUCAGAGAGACUAAUUGGAGAACCGCUGCCUUGUACAAGUAACAACUUUUUCAAUUUAGGCAUACUGACAUCAUCCCUACACAUUACUUCAGACAACCCAUCUGGUUCAUUAAUAUGCAGAAAUUCAAGUUGCGGAAAGCUAUCACCACCAGAGAGAUCCAUUUUUUCUUCCAUAUGACUGCACCAAUCCAUUUUAAGUAUCCUUAAUUUGGGUAAUUUCUUAAGCACUGCCACUACAUGACCGUCUACCUUAUAGCGGACAAGAGUAAGCUUGACAAGAUUUGGAGGGAAUGCUUCAGAGUUCAAGCGCAUUGUUCCGCAAACAUUGAUCAAACACAACUUAACAAUAUUUGGAUAGGACGACAAGUUUAUUUGCUCACUCAUGUGCCUGGAAACACUGAGCUUCAGAACUUCCAGCGCCGUUGGCACAGGGCUCAAUGCUGAUAAUAUCUUAACUGUAGAAUCAGAUACUCCUAUUAUACCCAGUUUUCUUAAAUUCAUCAAUCGGUGCAACAAUGUCGCCUCAAAAAAUUUAUCAUCCAGCCACAUCAAAGUUUGUACAUUAUUAUGAGCCAAUGAGUACAAGUUUGGAAAAAUUGGGCUUAUAGAAAAGCAACUGUUAGAUGCUUGAUUAGAACCUCCAUAACAAAGAUGUUUCAAUUGUGUAGACUUCCAAACACCAGCAGGAAAUUUAAUUAAGCUAUAACCAAUAUCGAGGGUCUCUAGACGUUUGAGCUUCAGCAUACAAUUUGGCAGUUUCCCAUAAAUAUGCCCCUGGAAUCGCAGAUAACGUAAGCAACUCAUGUUCCCAAAUGUGUUUGGGAUACUGACAUCACAAAUAUCAUCAACAAAGAUGACUACAACCAACACUUGCAAUAAUUUGAAAUCAAGAUGAGCCAGUUGAGAAAAUAUGCAAGGGUCUUCUGUAAAACAGAAAAGUGCACGAAGCUUCUCAAGCUUAGUAUUUGAACGGAAGAACUCAUUCAUGACAUUAUUAUCAGAGUAGAAUGUAAUCCUUCGCACCCUAGCAACAUUGCCGGGAUCACCAAAUGCAUUGUGCUCGGUGUGAAAGAAGUUGCUUUCCUUAGCCAAGUCAACACAUAAACUAUGUAACAAGUCAUGUAUGCGACAACUUGAAAUUCUUCCAUCAUAUGUCCUUUUGGCAACUUGAAUCAUGUUUCUUGAAACCAAAUCAUUUAGGACAUCAUCCGCCACACUUUCAGCCUCUCGCCCAUUGCCACUAUUUACAACUAUCAACUUCUCAGCAAUCCACAUAUUUGUCAAAUCAAAAGCACGAAUUUCAUGAUCCUCGGGGUAAAGGCCAAAAUACAAGAAACAUGGCCUUAAUGCAAUUGGCAAAUCAUUGUAACUCAGAGCCAAUACCUUAGCACAUCCAUCUUGAACUUUAUGGCUCAUACUCUCAAGUACUCUGUUCCAUGCACGUUCUGUUCUUUCUCUUGCCCUUAACAUGCCUGCGGUCACCUCAAUGGCUAGAGGUAUACCUCCACAUCUCCCAACUAUAUUUCUACCAAUAUCUACCAACUCUGGUGAAGCAUUGGCCCAAUUAUUAUUGUUAUCAAAAAUAAAGAUUUUCUUGGUAAAGAGUUCAAAACUGUUCUCCGAAUUUAGAGGUUGCAACACGUGAAUUGAGAAAUCCCCUCCUAUAUAUCUGACUACAUUACUAUUUCGAGAGGUUAUAAUUAUCCUACUGCCAAUUUUUGAAUCACAUUCAGGAAAGACAAGUUUUAGAUCAUCCCAAAUUUCAACAUCCCAAAUGUCAUCUAAGAGGAUAACAUACCUUUUUAUUUUCAAGAGUGACCGUAGGUUGUUCUCCAAGUUUUCUUUCCUUUCAUCUUCCGUCAGUCCAACUUGUUUGGCUAUGUCCUGUAAGAUUUCUCCCGCCCUUGGCUGUUGUGAAACGUAGACCAGUCCCCGAACACUCAAAUUGAUGACGGACAUGCCUAUAAAGUUUCUUGGCAAGAGUUGUUUUUCCCAAUCCGGGCAUGCCAACUAUUGAAACAACUCCAUAAGGCAAAUCUUGAUCAAGUAAUUUGGCUUGUAGCAUUUUGAAGUCAUCAUCCAAACCGAUGACCUCUGUUCAUCAGCAUGAAGGAAUAAUCUUCUCUUGGUCCAAUGGAAUGCAAUCAUCAUUAUUGUUGUUACUUGUAUCCAUGAUGUUGUAAGUUGUCCUUACACGGUCAAUAUCAGCAACUCUCUUUUUAUCUUCUCAAUCUCCAUAGCAAACUCAUCGGCAAAAGAAACCGUCUUAAGGCAACAAAUGAACUUAUUGGAUUGUUGAAUUUUUGGAAGAAACUCAUCUAAUAGAUCCUCCACAUCACCUGCCAGUUGUUGAAUAUCUUUUAAUAAGUUUUUGACCCUUGAAUCGCCUCCAACUUCCUUGGCCUUUGCAUCGUCUACAUAUGAUCGAAUGUGUCUCAUUUCUCUCUGGAGCCAAUCGAUGUCUUCUUUCAACCAAUAUAAACGCGUUCCUUGUUGAAAGAGUAGAUUUCCAGCUAUUUCUACAGAUUUAUUGAUGACUGCUGUAAGAAGAAUUUCAGCCAUUUCUUUUUCAGUAGCUACAAAAAACUGAUCAGAAUGAUUAAUUAGGAAAAGUAAGAAAAAGAAGAUCAGCUUAUACUAUAUAUUUGCUUUUGCUUUUUAGUGAUAGCUGGAGUCCAUGGCAAAGUCUCCUAAUAAUGUCAAGUAAAGGUGGGGCAGCUGCACACGAAUCAAAAAGGAGAAAUACAUUAUACUCUCAUCUUAUUAUAACAAUCAUUUUCGGUAACAAUAUAUUUUUUUUCUUUUUUUUAAAGAACUAUUGUUAUAUUAUAAGUGGUUUUUUUUAUAUAUACAUUAUACUAUAAACAUUUCAGGACAAACGACUUCCUUUAUAAAGGUUUGAUUGUAUGAGUACGUAGCAAAAAAAAUUUGAAAGCAUCAAAUCGCAUAAAAACCUAAAAAUUCAUGGAACAUACAAAUUGAGUCUUAUAAUAGCCCAAAUUGGGUAAAGUUUUGCAAGGGACGGACGGAAUAAUUUAUUUUCACUAUUCUACUGGCAUCUUAUCUACUGCAUGUGCGUCCUACUGUGGACUCCAACAAUAAAGCAAAUAGUUGAUCACUUCAGACUUAUUCCAUCAACUAUUUGAAUACAGUGAUAUUUCAAAAAGAAAAUAGUAAAUAAUUGAGAGAAGUAUUGAAAACGUACCCCUCUAAAUUUGGUGUCAAUUAUUAGUUUUAUCUUUGAACUAUUGACAAUUUUAAAAACAUAUUUUUACUUGACUAACUGAACUUACAAGUUACAUAUAGCCCAAUCUUGCAAUAUGAGUGAAAUACACCCUUAAAUUUUCGUCAAGUUUAGGAGUAUUUUAAUUUCAACACUUAUCUCGAUUUUUUAUUAAGAGUAUUAUGCUUCUAUAAGAGUUUGAGACCACUUGUCAUGUAACUGAUCGGGGCGUUCGGCGGUUUCGUUGCGCUGUAGUGGAUUUGAGUUAUAAAUCUUUAAGUAAAAGUAGCUAUACAUUAUGUAUCGAUCUACUAUUCAUUGUAAUUAAUUAGACAUGAACUAAGUAACAAACAAAAAUUAGUUUAUCGAGGAUAUUAAACGUAAAUAAUUAUAGUGGCCACUAACCUGUAGACACAUUGAUAUUAAACGUAAAUAUUCAAUGAAUUUUUAACAUAAAUAUAUGAUUUUAGCUAAUAUUAUUAAAUUUUAUUGAACACAUAGCUAGAAUUCUAACUUUGAUUGUGUGAGAUUUUUAGUUUUUGCAGAAUUUUUUAGCAAACAAAAGUCAUUAUUAGGAAGGCCAGCUCCUUAUGAUACCUUGUAAGAUGGAUUUUUUAAACUUUUAUGUUGAAAUCUUUUAUAGUUUGGGGAUGAAAUGUGUAGAAAUUUUAUUCUUUAAAGAUGUAUACCUUGUGUUUGACAUAAAUAAAACCAAAACACACAUAAACAAAAAAUUGAUUAAAGUAUACUUGUAUUUUUAUUUUUAUUUCAAAUUAUUGAAUGUUGGAGUUAUAAUCAGGAGUCUGGUCAUGACCAAUUCUACACCUUAAAAUGAAAUGUAAAUAUAGUCCUACAAAUUAUAAACUCAACAAAUAUUGGGGUCGAUUCCAUGAAGAGUGUGUGCAUGUGUCAAUGUGUCCAAAAGUGUGUAUUUGUGAAUUUCCUAAAUUUUGUGUGCGUGUGUAAUUAAACAAUUUAUUUACUACUAGUUCUAACUAUUCCCUCCAUUUCAUAUUAAUUUAAUUUUUAAGGUAUUUUUUAUUUUUUAAAUUAAUUUAAUUGUUCAGUUUUCAAAACUACUUUUAGAGUGUUCUUCCAAUUUUACCCUUCAUUAGUUAGUAUUGGAAUUAGCGAUUAAUUAAUAUUUAGUUAUUUUAAUCAUAAAUUUGAUAAUAAUUAAUAAGGGUAAAAAUAGAAAACUAUAUUCAAUUUAUGUCUUAAUCUACUUUUUUUAAAGGGUGUAAAACACCUCAAAAUUAAAUUAAUAUGAAAUGGAGGGAGUAUUUUGUAAUAAUCAAAUAUAAAUUAAAGCAAAAAAGAAAAAGAAAAAUAGUAGGUGUACCUGAUAGGUUGGAAUUUGGCUGAUGCAGUUCCUUGAUUGGAGUAAAUAUUAAUUAUAAGUGUUUUUUUUUUCAAAAGAUGGAAAUUGACAAAUUAACCAAGCACCUCAAUUCUAUUUAUAAGUAUCUUUUAAAAAAAUAUAUAUAUUAGUUCAAUACUUGAAUUGAAUGUGAGGGUAAGAUGGGUCAUAAUUUCCAAAUUAUUCUUUACUUGAAACAAUAUAUAGGCAUCUUACCUUUUUUCUCAUGAAAAAGCAAAAGGAAAGUAUAAUGUUGGAGAAUUAAAAAAAUAAUAAUCAUGUUUUCACUUUUGUCUGGAUGUAAAUGUUACAAAAGAAAUAAAUGAAUAUUUCAAACGGAAGUAUUUUUCGUGAAGAACUCUUUUUUUUCCACUUUAGUUGUAACUAUUCAUUCUAUAGUUCUAUUCCAUAUUAGUUGAUCAUUUUAUUAAAAAAUAUAAUUGUCCAUUUUUAUAAAUUAAGAAAGCAUUAAUUAAUUUUUUUCCUAUAUUAUUCAUGCAAUUAAUUCUUUUUUUAAAUGUUCAUAUUUGUUUGUUAAAUUUCCAAUAAAAAAUUUCAGAGAUGAAUCAAUAAACUGAACUUCUUAUUUAUGAUUUCUUGAUAUGCUUGUAAAAAGGAAAAUGAUCAACUGAGAUCGGGAGAGUAAUAAAAUAACUUGCAAUUCGCGUGAUAGUGAAGAAAAUUAUAUACAUUCCCUUUAUUAAAGAAAAUACUUUAAAAAGGAAAAGUAAUACUUUCAAUUAUUUUACAAAUAUAUUUUAUUAAAUAAUCUAUAAUAUACAAAAUAAAUAUUAUGAUUUUUAAUUGAGAAAGGUAACGAUCACCAAUAAUGAAGAAAAAAAGUACUACAAUUACUACUUGAGAAAUAUCAUUACACUAAUAAUAAAAAUAUGAUUUAAAGUAAAAAAGUUUCAAAAAAUAAUAAUAAUAUCUGAAGCCUACACGUGAAGUGAGGAAUCUCCUCCUAUGUAUCUGCCUACAUUACUAUUUCGAGAUGUGAUUAUUAUCCUACUGCCAAUUUUUGAGUCAGGAAGGAAAAAAUUCAGAUAAUUCCAAAUUUCAACAUCCCAAAUGUCAUCUAAGAGGAUAACACACCUUUUUCUUUGCAAGAGUGAGCUUAGGUUGCCUUCCAAGUUCUCUUUCCUUUCCUGUUCCGUCAGUCCAACUUGUUUGGCAAUGUCCUGUAAGAUUUCUCCUGCCCUUGCCUGCUGUGAAACAUAGACCAAUCCUGAACAUUCAAAUUGAUGACGGACAUGCCUAUAAAGUUUCUUGGCAAGAGUUGUUUUUCCUAAACCGGGCAUGCCAACUAUUGAAACAACUCCAUAAGGCAAAUCAUGAUCAAGUAAUUUGGCUUGUAGCUUAUUGAAGUCAUCAUCCAAACUGAUGACCUCUAUUUCAUCAGCAUGAAGGAAUAAUCUUCUCUGGUCCAACGGAAUGCAAUCAUUAUUGUUGUUACUUGUAUCCAUGAUGCAUGUUAUAAGUUGUCCUUACACGAUCAAUACCCGCAACCCUUCGGCAAAAGAAACUGUCUUAAAGCAACAAAUGAACUUAUUGGAUUGUUGAAUUUUUGGAAGGAACUCAUCAAAGAGAUCCUCCACAUCACUUGCGAGUUGUUGAAUAUCUUUUAAUAAAUUUUUGACCCUUGAAUCGCCUCCAACUUCCUUGGCCUUUGCAUCGUCCACAUAUGAUUGAAUGUGUCUCAUUUCUCUCUGGAGCCAAUCGAUGUCCUCUUUCAACCAAUAUAAACGCGUUCCUUCUUGCACGAGUAGAUUUCCAGCUAUUUCUACAGAUUUAUUGAUGACUGCUGUGAGAAGAAUUUCAGCCAUUUUUUGUCUUUCUUUUUCAGUAUCAACAAAAAACUGAGUAUGAGUAAUUAGGAAAAGUAGGAAAAAAAGACGAUCAGUAUACUGUUUGCUUUUGCAUUUUAGUGAUAGCUGGAGUCCUAAUAAUGCCAAGUAAAUGAUAAACAAAAGAAACAAGAAAGGUGGGGCAGCUGCACACUAAUGGAAAAGGAGAAAUACAUUAUACUCUCAUCUUACUAUUAUACUCUAACAAUCAUUCUUGAUAACAAUAUAAUUUUUUCCUUUUUAAAAAAACUAAUGUAAUAUUAUAGUGUAUUAUAAGUGUUUUUUUUUAAAUAUCGUGUAAUUGAUUAGUUAUACUAAGAUGUUUACUUAGUUAUGUAGUUUUUUCGGAAAAAAAAAGUAUAUUAUCAAUCGGCCACAAAAAAUAAAAAAACUUAAAUUGGGACGGGCGGAAUAAUUUCUUUUCACUAUUCUACUGACAUCUUAUCCACUGCAUGUGUUGUCCUUAUUGUGGACUCCAACAAUAAAGCAAAUAGUUUAUCACUUUAGACUUAUUCCAUCAACUAUUUGAAAUUUCAAUUCACAAUUUUUGAAUAAAGUGAUAUUUCAAAAAGAUAAUAAAUAAUUGAGAGAACUAUUGAAAACGUACCCCUCUAAAUUUGGUGUCAAUUAUUAGUUUCAUUUUUGAACUAUUGACAAUCUUAAAAACAUUAUUUUACUUGACUAAUUGAACUUACAUACACACCGAUCUUACAACGUGAGUGAAAUACACCCUUAAAUUUUCGUCAAGUUUAGGAGUAUUUUAAUUUCAACACUUAUCUCGACUUUUUAUUAAGAGCAUUAUGUUUCUAUAAGAGUUUGAGACCACUUGCUAUGUCAUGUGACUGAUCGGGGUGUUCAGCGGUUUAGUUAGUCAAGUAGAGGGAUGGUUUUUAGACUGUCAAUAAUUUGUAGAUGAAACUAAUAAUAUUUUUUUCGAAUUUAUACCACUAAACAAAGAGUCUAGCCAUUUUUCUAAUAAUGUGCACUAAGUUUAAGGUGUUUUUCUAUACUUCUCUCUAAAUAAUUUUCAUAAUCAAACAUGAUGUUAAAAUAACUUUCUCAAUCUUGACAAUUGCUUAUUUACAAACUAUUAUGAAUUCGCCACUAUGGUAGACACACUGCUACCAAAACAAGAGGAUGCAUGUUGUACAUUAAUUCCAAAAACACCCUCUUCAAAAAGCAAGGUACAACACCUCUAAGCAGUAAAAUUACUCUCGAGUCCCUUACUAUUUGGAGCUAUUAAGCACAUAUAUAUUUUUUUUCACUCUGAAAAAGUCGAAAUAUAUACCCUUUGUCCUUGUGAUUAGCUUCAUAAUGUUUCAGAUAAAUAUAGAAGCUAUAUUUAUUGUGUCGCGUAAUUUAUUACUCCCUCCAUCUCAAUUUAUGUGAGAUAGUUUGAUUUGGUACGAAGUUUAAGAAAGAAAUGAAGACUUUUAAAAUUUGUGGUUCAAAAUGAAUUAUAUAAAUUUGUGUGGCUGUAAAUCAUUUCAUUAACGGUAAAGUAGACAUUUCAUAGUUAAAUUGUUACUUACUCCCUCCGUCCCAUUUUAUGUGGCAACAUUUUGACCCCGGCACGGGAGUUUAAGAAAUAAAUGAAGACUUUGAAAUAUUUACCAAAUUGCCCUUUAAAAAGUAGACUCACUUUUCUCUCUCCUCAUAAAUGUAUUGGAGUAUUAUUUUAAGAUUAAGUGAGACCAACAAGGGUAAAAGAGGAGUUGUACCUUUAAAUACUUACCAUAUAAGGAAAUGUGACAUUCUUUUUGGGACUGACCAAAAAGGAAAUGGUGCCACAUAAAAUGGGACGGAGGGAGUAAUAUAAAAAUGUGUCAUUCUCUUUUGGACAGAUCAAAAAGGAAAGUAAGUCACAUAAAUUGAUAUGGAGGGAGUAUUUAUCCAUCCAUUAUUCUCAUAAAAAUAUAAUUUGUUUAAUAUUACUAAAUCAAAAAUAACUUUUAACGGCAAUAUAUAUAUAUACAACAUUAUCAUCUUAGAGCUAUUAGCAAAGAUCGUAGGAAAUAUGUGUUCAAUGUCAGCAAGACCUCUAUUAAUUAAACACAUUUGGAGAGAGAUGAACCAAUGUGCCGAUUUUCUGGCAAACGAAGAGCACAAGCAUAAUGAAAAUUUGAUAGUAGCCACUAACCUGUAGACACAUUGAUAUUAAACGUAAAUAUUCAAUGAAUUUUGAACAUAAAUAUUUGAUUUUAGCUAAAAUUAUUAAAUUUUAUUGAACACGUAGCUAGAAUUCUAACUUUGAUUGUGUGAGAUUUUUAGUUUUUGCAGAAUUUUUUAGCAAACAAAAGUGUCAUUAUAAGGAAGGCCAGCUGCUUAUGAUACCUUGUAAGAUGAAUUUUAAAAAAAAUUAUGUGGAAAUCUUUUAUAGUUUGGGGAUGAAAUGUGUAGAAAUUUUAAUUCUUUUAAAGAUGUAUACCUUGUGUUUGACAUAAAUAAAACCAAAACACAUAAAUAAAAAUUUGAUUAAAGUAUACUUGUAUUUUAUUUUUUUCAAAUUAUUGAAUGCUGGAGUUAUACUCUGGAGUUUGGUCAUGACCAAUUCUACACCUUAAAAUGAAAUGUAAAUACAGUCGUACCAAUUAUAAACCCAACAAAUAUUGGGGUCGAUUCCAUGAAGAGCGUGUGCAUGUGUCAAGGUGUCCAAAAGUGUGUAUUUGUAAAUUUUCUAACCUUGGACUUUUAUUGAUCCACACAGAAAAAAAAAAAACCCAAAACCCAAGAAUUGGGUCAAUAGUUUUUAAUGGUUUUAUAAAAAAAUUAUUGGAUUAUCGGUUCGGUUUUGACCUUUUAUAAUGGGUUAUUGGGUAUACUGAUAACCCAAUAAGAUUAUAGUAAUAUAGUACUUUACGCUUACAUAAAUAUUAAAUAUUAAUCUCAAUACCUUACUAGUUAGUACAUUUGUCCUAUAGCCUUAGCUUCAAACUUCAUAGUGACUUUGAGUUCAAAACUUCACAUUAUACAAAACGUCAAAAUAUAAAGUAAGAACAUUAUUCCUAUUAAUUUCUCUUUGUGUUACACUUGUAUAGUUCUCUCAAUGUUAAUUAUUAUUAUUUCUAUUUUAUGAGCAUUUGUUAGAGAAGUCAUAUAUUUAUUUUAUAAGCAUUUUCUUAUUGGUUAAACCAAUUGAUAGAUAAACCAUAACCAAAAACCGAUAAAAUGAAAUGACAAUACAUAAAAUUGACCCGAAUCGAUCGAUGCAAAGCCAUAACUUAUAUUGUAAACUUUGAUUCUUGAAGAAGAAAAUAAACUAAAGCUACUAAUUCCAAAGUAAAUAUACAUAAGACAAUAAAUAAAUCUUUUAUAAAUCACAAGCCACAAAUACGUCAACUUCAUGAAGCAAUCAAACAUUUAAUUUAUUUAUUUCAAAUACAAACAGGCAUCAGAAGAUGCUCUCCAGCAAAGACUUAAUCAUUCUCAAAUGCAUCUGCAAUUUAUUAGACAUAAAAUAUUAAGUUGAUGAAUUAAUUAAUAAAAAAUGAGCUUAUUCAGAGAUAUUAAAAGUAAAUAAUUAACCUGUUGACACAUUGGGAUUUUCAUACUCUCAGCUUUGCAAGACGUUCCGAGAGCCUAACGUCGGAAGUGGUAUCUAUACGUAAAAAUAGCUUUUUCAAUUUAGGCAUAAUCAUAUCAUCCCUGCAACUUACUUCAGACAACCCACAUGCAUACUCAAUAUGCAAAACUUCAAGUUGCGGAAAGCUAUCACCAUCACCACAGAGAUCCAUCUUUUCUUCAUUAUGUUUGCACCAAAGCAUUUUAAGUAUCCUUAAUUUGGGCAAUUUCUUAAGCACUGCCACUACAUGACCGUCUACCUCCAAGUUGUGAAGAGUAAGCUUGACAACAUUUGGAGGGAAUGCUUCACAGUUCAAGCGCAUUGUUCUGCAAAUUCUCAAAUGCAACUUAACAAUAUUUGGAUAGGACGACAAGUUUAUUUUCUCACUCAUCAUGUACCUCAAAAAUCUGAGCUUCAAAACCUCCAGCGCCUUUGGCACAGGGCUCAAUGUUGAUAAUAUCUUAACCGUAGAACCAUAUGAGCACUCUAUACCCAGUUUUCUUAUAUUGAUCAAUCGGUGCAACAAUCUCGGUUCAAAAAAAUUAUAAUCAUCCAUCCACAUCAAAGUUUGUAGAUUAUUAGGAGGCAAUGAUGAGUACACAUUUGGAAAAAAUGGGAUUAUAGAAAAGCAAUACAUACAUACUUUAUCGAAAGAUUUAUAACGAAGAUGUCUCAAUUGUGUAGACUUCAAAACACCAGUAGGAAGAUCAAUGAAGCUUUUACCAAUAUCUAGGGUCUCUAGAUGUUUGAGCUUCAACAUACAAUUCGGCAGUUUCCCAUAAAUAUCCCCCUCCAAUCGAAGAUAGCGUAAGCAACUCAUGUUUCCAAACGUGUUUGGGACACCACAACAAUCAUAAUAGGACAUGACUACAACCAACACUUGCAAUAAUUUGAAAUCAAGAUGAGCCAGUUGAGAAAAUAUGCAAGGGUCUGUUGUGAAACAGAAAAGUGCACGAAGCUUCUUAGGCUUAGGAUUUGAACGAAAGAACUCAUUCAUGGCAUUAUUAUCCGAGUAGAAUGUAAUUCUUCGCACCCUAGCAACAUUGCCGGGAUCACCAAAUGCAUUGUGCUCGGUGUGAAAGAAGCUACUUUCCUUAGCCAAGUCCACACACAAACUAUGUAACAAGUCAUGUAUGCGACAACUUGAAAUUCUUCCAUCAUAUGUCCUUUUGGCAACUUGAAUCAAGUUUCUAGAAACCAAAUCAUUUAGAAUAUCCUCAGCCAAACUUUCAGCCUCUCGCCCAUUGCCACUAUUUACAACUAUCAGCUUCUCAGCAAUCCACAUAUUUGUCAAAUCAAAAACACGAAUUUCAUGGUCCUCGGGGAAAAGGCCAAAGUACAAGAAACAUGGCCUUAAUGCAAUGGGCAAAUCAUUGUAACUCAGAGCCAAUACCUUAGCACAUCCAUCUUGAACUUUAUGGCUCAUACUCUCAAGUAACCUGUUCCAUGCAUGUUCCGUUCUUUCUCUUGCCCUUAGCAUGCCUGCAGUCACCACAAUGGCUAGUGGUAUACCUCCACAUCUACCAACUAUACUUCUACCAAUAUUUACCAAGUCAGGUGAAGCAUUAGCCCAAUUAUUAUUAUCAAAAUUAAAGAUUUUCUUGCUAAAGAGUUCAAAACUGUUAUCUGAAUCUAGGGGUUGCAACACACAGAGUGAGGAAUGUCCUCCUAUGUAUCUUCCUACGUUACUAUUUCGAGAUGUGAUAAUUAUCCUACUGCCAAUUUUUGAAUCAUAUUCAGGAAGAACAAGUUUUAGAUAAUUCCAAAUUUCAACAUCCCAAAUAUCAUCUAAGAGGAUAACAUACCUUUUUCUUUUCAAGAGUGAUCGUAGGUUGUUCUCCAAGUUUUCUUUCCUUUCCUCUUCCGUCAGUCCAACUUGUUUGGCUAUGUCAUGUAAGAUUCCUCCCACCCUUGGCUGUUG